This 705-nucleotide ribosomal RNA is filed under the name uncultured Peptococcaceae bacterium. RNAcentral describes it as "bacterial SSU rRNA". It matches the Rfam family "Bacterial small subunit ribosomal RNA", at positions 74 to 754 of the family's 1533-position model. Lineage: Bacteria; Bacillati; Bacillota; Clostridia; Eubacteriales; Peptococcaceae. The record is from RNAcentral.
GAAAGCUUGCUUUUGAAAGUCGAGUGGCAAACGGGUGAGUAACGCGUAGACAACCUGCCGUAAAGAUGGGGACAACAGUCCGAAAGGACUGCUAAUACCGAAUGUUGUGGAACUUCCGCAUGGGGGCUCCACUAAAGAUGGCCUCUACUUGUAAGCUAUCGCUUUACGAUGGGUCUGCGUCUGAUUAGCUAGUUGGUGGGGUAACGGCUUACCAAGGCGACGAUCAGUAGCCGGUCUGAGAGGAUGAACGGCCACAUUGGAACUGAGACACGGUCCAGACUCCUACGGGAGGCAGCAGUGGGGAAUCUUCCGCAAUGGGCGCAAGCCUGACGGAGCAACGCCGCGUGAGUGAAGAAGGGUUUCGACUCGUAAAGCUCUGUUGUCGGGGACGAAUGUGGAGGUUGUGAAUAACAGCUUCCAAUGACGGUACCUGACGAGGAAGCCACGGCUAACUACGUGCCAGCAGCCGCGGUAAUACGUAGGUGGCGAGCGUUGUCCGGAAUUAUUGGGCGUAAAGGGAGCGCAGGCGGGAGAUCAAGUCUAUCUUAAAAGUGCGGGGCUCAACCCCGUGAGGGGAUGGAAACUGGUCUUCUUGAGUGCAGGAGAGGAAAGCGGAAUUCCUAGUGUGGCGGUGAAAUGCGUAGAUAUUAGGAGGAACACCAGUGGCGAAGGCGGCUUUCUGGACUGUAACUGACGCUGAGGCUC